RNAcentral lists this transfer RNA (90 nucleotides) under Alphaproteobacteria bacterium. Its description in RNAcentral is "tRNA-Ser". It matches the Rfam family "tRNA". From Rfam's summary of the family: Transfer RNA (tRNA) molecules are approximately 80 nucleotides in length. Their secondary structure includes four short double-helical elements and three loops (D, anti-codon, and T loops). The record is from RNAcentral. Lineage: Bacteria; Pseudomonadati; Pseudomonadota; Alphaproteobacteria.
GGAGAGGUGGCCGAGCGGUCGAAGGCGCACGCCUGGAACGCGUGUAUGCGAGAAAUCGUAUCGAGGGUUCGAAUCCCUCUCUCUCCGCCA